RNAcentral lists this ribosomal RNA (483 nucleotides) under uncultured bacterium. RNAcentral's name for it is "partial 16S ribosomal RNA". It matches the Rfam family "Bacterial small subunit ribosomal RNA", at positions 29 to 507 of the family's 1533-position model. The record is from RNAcentral.
UUGAACGCUGGCGGCAUGCUUUACACAUGCAAGUCGAACGGCAGCGCGGGCUUCGGCCUGGCGGCGAGUGGCGAACGGGUGAGUAAUGCAUCGGAACGUGCCCAGUAGUGGGGGAUAGCCCGGCGAAAGCCGGAUUAAUACCGCAUACGACCUGAGGGUGAAAGCGGGGGACCGAAAGGCCUCGCGCUAUUGGAGCGGCCGAUGUCGGAUUAGCUAGUUGGUGGGGUAAAGGCUUACCAAGGCGACGAUCCGUAGCUGGUCUGAGAGGACGACCAGCCACACUGGGACUGAGACACGGCCCAGACUCCUACGGGAGGCAGCAGUGGGGAAUUUUGGACAAUGGGGGCAACCCUGAUCCAGCCAUGCCGCGUGCGGGAAGAAGGCCUUCGGGUUGUAAACCGCUUUUGUUCGGGAAGAAAUCCUCUGGGCUAAUACCUCGGGGGGAUGACGGUACCGGAAGAAUAAGCACCGGCUAACUACGUG